GUAGGGAAUAUUGGGCAAUGGAUGCAAGUCUGACCCAGCCAUCCCGCGUGCCGGAAGAAGGCCCUCAGGGUUGUAAACGGCUUUUGACGGUGAAGAACCGACAGGAUGCGUCCUGUUUUGACGGUAGCCGUUGAAUAAGCACCGGCUAACUCCGUGCCAGCAGCCGCGGUAAUACGGAGGGUGCGAGCGUUGUCCGGAUUUAUUGGGUUUAAAGGGUGCGUAGGCUGGAAGGUCAGUCAGCGGUGAAAAGCUAUCGCUUAACGAUAGUCUUGCCGCAGAUACUUCCUUUCGUGGAUGAGGAGGAGGCCACUGGAACGGAUGGUGUAGCGGUGAAAUGCAUAGAUAUCAUCCAGAACACCGAUUGCGAAGGCAGGUGGCUGUACCUUAAUCGACGCUGAUGCACGAAAGCAUGGGGAGCAAACAGGAUUAGAAACCCUAGUAGUCC
This 445-nucleotide ribosomal RNA is filed under the name uncultured bacterium. RNAcentral describes it as "partial 16S ribosomal RNA". It matches the Rfam family "Bacterial small subunit ribosomal RNA", at positions 354 to 796 of the family's 1533-position model. The record is from RNAcentral.